GGACGAACGCUGGCGGCGUGCUUAACACAUGCAAGUCGAGCGGUAAGGCCCUUUCGGGGGUACACGAGCGGCGAACGGGUGAGUAACACGUGGGUGACCUGCCCUCAGCUCUGGGAUAAGCCUGGGAAACCGGGUCUAAUACCGGAUAUGACUCCAUGACGCAUGUUGUGGGGUGGAAAGCCUUGUGCGGCUGGAGGAUGGGCCCGCGGCCUAUCAGCUUGUUGGUGGGGU
This 231-nucleotide ribosomal RNA is filed under the name uncultured bacterium. RNAcentral describes it as "partial 16S ribosomal RNA". It matches the Rfam family "Bacterial small subunit ribosomal RNA", at positions 27 to 258 of the family's 1533-position model. The record is from RNAcentral.